This 301-nucleotide ribosomal RNA is filed under the name uncultured bacterium. RNAcentral's name for it is "partial 16S ribosomal RNA". It matches the Rfam family "Bacterial small subunit ribosomal RNA", at positions 509 to 807 of the family's 1533-position model. The record is from RNAcentral.
CAGCCGCCGCGGUAAUACGUAGGUGGCAAGCGUUAUCCGGAAUUAUUGGGCGUAAAGCGCGCGUAGGCGGUUUCUUAAGUCUGAUGUGAAAGCCCACGGCUCAACCGUGGAGGGUCAUUGGAAACUGGGAAACUUGAGUGCAGAAGAGGAAAGUGGAAUUCCAUGUGUAGCGGUGAAAUGCGCAGAGAUAUGGAGGAACACCAGUGGCGAAGGCGACUUUCUGGUCUGUAACUGACGCUGAUGUGCGAAAGCGUGGGGAUCAAACAGGAUUAGAUACCCCAGUAGUCCCUGUCUCUUAUAC